AGCUCCAAUAGCAUAUACUAAAGUUGUUGCAGUUAAAAAGCUCGUAGUUGGAUUUUAAGGUUUAUUGGGGUCAAAGCCAUUUGCCGCUCUGGUGGUUAAAUGUGCUCCAGUAUUUCUUUUUUUUGAAAAAUUGCUCAGCUUGUAUCAACCUAGUUGGUACUCGUUUGGGCAUUUUACUUUGAGAAAAUUGUGGUGUUUAAAGCAGGCGUCUCGCCUGAUCUUUUGCAGCAUGGUAUGAUGAAACAUGACUUUUUUCUAUUU
This 261-nucleotide ribosomal RNA is filed under the name uncultured Dictyostelia. RNAcentral's name for it is "partial small subunit ribosomal RNA". It matches the Rfam family "Eukaryotic small subunit ribosomal RNA", at positions 587 to 840 of the family's 1831-position model. Lineage: Eukaryota; Evosea; Eumycetozoa. The record is from RNAcentral.